RNAcentral lists this transfer RNA (73 nucleotides) under Anaerolineae bacterium. RNAcentral's name for it is "tRNA-Arg". It matches the Rfam family "tRNA". From Rfam's summary of the family: Transfer RNA (tRNA) molecules are approximately 80 nucleotides in length. Their secondary structure includes four short double-helical elements and three loops (D, anti-codon, and T loops). Further hydrogen bonds mediate the characteristic L-shaped molecular structure. tRNAs have two regions of fundamental functional importance: the anti-codon, which is responsible for specific mRNA codon recognition, and the 3' end, to which the tRNAs corresponding amino acid is attached (by aminoacyl-tRNA synthetases). tRNAs cope with the degeneracy of the genetic code in two manners: having more than one tRNA (with a specific anti-codon) for a particular amino acid; and 'wobble' base-pairing, i.e. permitting non-standard base-pairing at the 3rd anti-codon position. The record is from RNAcentral. Lineage: Bacteria; Bacillati; Chloroflexota; Anaerolineae. RNAcentral also lists the same sequence under 1 other name.
GCCCCGGUAGCUCAGUGGAUAGAGCAGCACGGUCCUAACGUGACGGUCGUAGGUUCGAUCCCUAUCCGGGGUU